AGUUUGUACUCAGGAUUGGCUUAGGCUGCCAAAUACCUACAUAUCAAUUGAGGAAAAUCUAGAAGAAUUAGAAAGAUUUGAGAAAGAGUUUACUGUAGAG
Molecule: long non-coding RNA, 100 nt
Organism: Ipomoea nil (Japanese morning glory)
Lineage: Eukaryota; Viridiplantae; Streptophyta; Magnoliopsida; Solanales; Convolvulaceae
Exons: 3
Source: RefSeq, a predicted model, not a curated record